RNAcentral lists this ribosomal RNA (253 nucleotides) under uncultured bacterium. RNAcentral's name for it is "partial 16S ribosomal RNA". It matches the Rfam family "Bacterial small subunit ribosomal RNA", at positions 524 to 776 of the family's 1533-position model. The record is from RNAcentral.
UACAGAGGUGGCAAGCGUUGUUCGGAAUUACUGGGCGUAAAGGGCGCGUAGGCGGCCAUCUAAGUCAGACGUGAAAUCCCCCGGCUUAACCUGGGAACUGCGUCUGAUACUGGACGGCUCGAGUGUGGGAGAGGCAGGCGGAAUUCCCGGUGUAGCGGUGAAAUGCGUAGAUAUCUGGAGGAACACCGGUGGCGAAGGCGGCAUCCUGGACCAAUACUGACGCUGAGGAGCGAAAGCCAGGGGAGCAAACGGG